AGCAGAUGAUAUGGACUGAAGUCGAUUAAUUCAUUAACUAGAAAGUGAAGUUUUGAAGUGCAAAAUGCUAAAAAAAUGAUAAGAAGAAUUUCAUUUAUGAAUUGAGUAUACGUACUUGUCCUUUGAAUCCAUUUCAAAACCUCAUAAUAUUGAACAAAAUUAGAAGGGUUGUUGUUGUGAUCCUUGGUCGAUCUUGAGAAAAACACAGAAACUACGAUUGAUCUGUGGUGGGAGGGUUUUGAAGCUUGUCAUGAGUAACCCUAGAGAGUGAUGGUGGUGGUGGUGGAGCAAGGAUGAGUUGAGUUUGGUUGAGAGAUUUUGUUGCUGAUCCUUCAUAUUUUUUGUUGUUGUUUUGGAUUUUCUCCCUUUCUGCUUGCCUGUAUUUAUGCAAAUACCUUGCUAUGGCCUCAGCAUAGUUGUCAAACCCUAAGGAACUUAGAGCCCAACAGAUGUCAUCCCCAUUAACGGUCUUGCGAUUCUCCUUGUGACACUUGUCAGAUGCCUCACCAGUCACAAAACUUAUGAACUCUGUAACACACUCUUGCAUUAGUUGUUUCCCUUCCUUGGAGAUCUUUGCACUUGGAGGAAGAUUUUGCUUCAUGAUUCUACCCACAUUUGCAAUGGGCAAAGCUUUAUCUUGCUCCUCCUGAUCCAUUUCCUAUAAAAUCAGAUAGAUAGCUAGAUAGAUAGAUACUGUGC
This 699-nucleotide small RNA is filed under the name Vigna angularis var. angularis. Its description in RNAcentral is "Non-protein coding transcript". The record is from RNAcentral. Lineage: Eukaryota; Viridiplantae; Streptophyta; Magnoliopsida; Fabales; Fabaceae.